RNAcentral lists this non-coding RNA (27 nucleotides) under Rattus norvegicus (Norway rat). The record is from RNAcentral. Lineage: Eukaryota; Metazoa; Chordata; Mammalia; Rodentia; Muridae.
UGAAGAUAGAGCUUUGCCAGAAGGGUC